Molecule: transfer RNA, 74 nt
Filed under: Candidatus Terraquivivens tikiterensis
Lineage: Archaea; Thermoproteati; Nitrososphaerota; Candidatus Wolframiiraptoraceae
Also listed under: 5 other names
Description: Aigarchaeota archaeon NZ13_MG1 tRNA-Pro
Rfam family: tRNA
About the family: Transfer RNA (tRNA) molecules are approximately 80 nucleotides in length. Their secondary structure includes four short double-helical elements and three loops (D, anti-codon, and T loops).
Source: RNAcentral
GGGGCCGUAGUCUAGCAUGGUAUGAUUCGCGGCUCGGGCCCGCGAGGUCCUGGGUUCGAAUCCCAGCGGCCCCA